This 4927-nucleotide long non-coding RNA is filed under the name Gossypium barbadense (sea-island cotton). RNAcentral's name for it is "long non-coding RNA (GBAR_LNC005226)". Lineage: Eukaryota; Viridiplantae; Streptophyta; Magnoliopsida; Malvales; Malvaceae. The record is from RNAcentral.
GGGCAGUGUCACUGCUUAGAGAAGAAGUUUAUCAGUGGUGGUUGACAGUGAAAGAGGGCACCCAACCUGAGCAGGUCACUUGGGAGUUCUUCAAAAUUGCAUUUCAAGGGAAGUAUAUGGGUGCGAAUUAUGUGGAUGCUAAAAGAAAGGAGUUCCUGAACUUGACCUAGGGAAACAAAUCUGUGGCGGAGUAUGAGGUGGAAUUUCUACGCCUUAGUUGGUAUGCAAAAGUUAUGAUGGCAACGGACUAUAAGCAUUACGUUAGGUUUGAGGAUGGUCUUAGGGAUAGCCUCAGAGUAUUGAUAGAUCUACAAAGGGAGUGAAUUUUCUUGGAGUUGGUAUAGAAAGCAAAGAUAGCAGAGGAGGUGAAGCAUGCUGAGCGCCUGAAUCGGGCAAAAGAAAGAGGUAAGAAUAAAAGGGAGGCUGAGACUCCUGGUGUUGGACAGAGGCCUGGGGCUAGGGCCAGAGUCAAUGGGCUAGUUAGAGCAGGGCCCCCUGCUGUCAAUCCAGGGGUGCCACCUUGUGCUACUUGUGGAAAAAGUCAUGCAGGAGAGUGGUGAAGGAGAAUAGGAGCCUGUCUGAGUUAUGGUUCCAUGGAGCAUUAUCUCAGAGAAUGUUCCAGAAGACCGGAUCAGAGGCAAGUCUUUGGUAGAGGUAAUGGACGCCGCUGAGGGGUGGUUUGCAGCCGCCUGGAGGCCGUGGUCAGGCCGGGGGUGGAAACCGUUUGAGCCGUGGAGCACCAGGCAGAGGUACUGGUCAUGUUGAGGCGAGACAGCCAGCGUUGGUCUAUGCAGCAUGUCGUCGAGAGGAUGGAGACACUCCAGAGGCUAAUACUGGUGCGUACUUUACCCAUAGUGUGCUAUUUACUUAGUUUGGAAUUAGAAUGCGCAGCGGGAGCGUGGUGUGGUAGUUUGUGUUAUGCAGUUGUACUGAUAGUUGGAAAUUUUGAGGACGAAAUUUCUUUUAGGUGGUAGAGUUGUAACGCCCCAAAAAUCUCGAACUUUCUUUUUAUGAUGGUUUUGAUAAAAUGUGUGCUUAAUAUUCCUAGUCAAGUGUUAUUUAUGUGAUAAUAGGCCUUGAUUAAGUUUAGAGUUCAAACUUUGGGGUGAAGGAAAUUAUAGUUUAAUAAUUAAAAGAACCUUGAUGGCAAGUAGAUUGGGUUUUAAAUAAAUAAAAGAGGAACUAGACACAAGGAGCCUUAUGUUGGAGUGGCAAGUAGUGUCACAUGUGGGGCUUAGUGGUGGCGUCACAUGCAUGGCAAGGAGGUUUGGGGUUCGAAUCCCUCCUUGCUCAAAAGAAGGAUUUAUUUUUGCUCAAUAAAUGGCCAGUAGUGGCGUUGGAUGUGAACUCUGAAGGGAGUGAUCAGAGGAGAAAUUUAAGGAAGGGAUUAAAGAGUUAUCAGGGAGAAAAGUUAGGAGAUGAGGGGUGUAGAGAACUGGAGCCGAAUAGGGAAUUUGGGGAUAGGUAAAUUUGGUUAUAGUAUAUAUAGGUGCCGAUUUUGGAUUCUAGGGGGAUGUUGAAAUUGCUUCUCUUCCUUUACCGAAUUCCUCAUUUUUUUUGGGUUGCCGAAACACUUUUCUCUCUAAAUGCUCAGAAGCCAAAUUCCUUGUUCCUCGCUUGCCAAUUUUCCAUUCUUUCUCUUUUCAAAUUCUCUUUUGAUUCACCUUUGGUUUUAGCCGAUUCCUUCUUCUCUUCUUCUUAUUUGUGCUGAAUAACCCCUUUCACCAUACAAAUCUCAAAAGUCGAAUACCUCUUUGGCUGAAGACCUUUUAUGUCGCCACUACUCCCUCUACUUUGCCCGAUUCUUGUGUAAGUGCUUUGCUCUUUCAGUAGGUUUUCCUAGUACCGAUUUCUUCUUUUCGUCACUCUUUCUAAAUCGGUUUUGGUAGGGGAUUAGUAUCAAAUCUCAGAUUUUAGAUCUACAUCGAAUUGCUCCUUAGGCGCUUUGGGGUUUUGGGUAAGUUUUCCUCUUUUAUUGGUUAAGGUUGGCCGAAUGGUCAUGGAUGUUUUAAGAGUGACUUAAGGUGAUUGCGAGUCACUUGUCGGUUAGUUCUUAAUGAUUAAGAUUGAUGCAGAUUUAAGGAAUACUCGUGAUUAGUGAUCAGGGAAGUUCUGUAAGGCUUGUCAUUCAAGGUAAGGCAAAGGUGAGAUUUUCGAUUUUUGGUGAUCGUAUUUGAUAAGUGUGUGAUUAAUCUUUGAGUGACACCAUCUAUAGGUUCGUGGCUAAGGAGAUCGCGGCACGUUUUAGUACCAGGUGUGUACAUACACUGCACACACACACAGUAGACUGACAAAUCCUGAAAUAUCGAAAUGCUGAAAUGCCGAAAGUUUGGCUACAAUAGUCUUGCGAGUGCGCGAACACUCGUAAAGGGGAAACCGAUAGGUUAUCAGAGGCCCAUGAGUAAUUCCAUGGACUUGGGCCGUGUAUUGGCCAAUCGGGCCAAAAUGGGCUAAAUGGGCCCGAUGGGCUGUAGGGCCCAUAAUAGGCAAAAUUGGCAAAUUGAUACUAUGUGAUGAAAAAUCAUGUGAUUGUAUGACUAUGAAUGUGAUUGGGCUUGACGGGCCAUAUGAAAGUGAUUGGGCCGAUGGGUCAUAUGAAUGAGAUUGGGCCUAAAGGGGCCAAAUGAAUAAGUAUGGAUCUGGUAGUGUUUAGUAAGGGGUUGUUGACCCAGUUUUUUGGUAACUACUUAAUCAGACAUAAAACUUAAAUAAUUAAUUAAUUGUGACCGUGGAUGAGUCAUAAGGUUAAGGUGUGUCAAUGGGUAUAUGCACGUUUAGGAUUGGAUCUAGGGAGAGCUUGGCACUUAAGCGGUCUUAAUGACCCAUCUCCUCUUCUCUGGAAUCCUACCUGGUGCAUAGUAUCUGUUUACUUUAGCCAACGAGGACUUGUUAACGGGCCAAGGUAAGUAAUAAACCCAUAAUAAAGAAAAAUUAUCGAAAUGCCCCUAAGGGCGAGAACGACUAAAAUACACCUAUGUGUUGAAUGUAAGAUUUAUGGAUGUUGCAUGUGUACCUGCUGCAUUCAUAUGAUAUUCUGUUUAGGUUGUAUUUGGGUUGGGAAUUAUGGAAUGGAGGAAGUGUAUAAGGAUCGCAUGGUUGCUUGAUGACUGUGGAUCCACCGAUGGCUUUUUAAGCCCAAUAUGUGAUUAGCGGCUUUGCUGUAACGUUAGGUAGUACCGAAAUCGGGCUACCAUUAGAGUGUAUCGGAUGGGUGGGUCAAUAUUUAUAUCCCCACAUGGAGUAUGUCAGGGGAUGGAGAUGGUGUGUAGCGAUUGGAUGGGUGGAAUUCGUGCAUAUUUGAUUGCUUUACUUCUGUUCUGAUAUUGAAUUGGGCUCAGGCCCAAAAAGACUUGCUAUUGCAUGCUUUCCUAUUUGUUGAGGGUUGUACACACUGAGUUUUCGAAAACUCACCCCUUCUUUUAUUUUUCUCAAAUGAUCCUUAGUAGGUGGUUUGACGGUAGGAGGGACUCCGAGGUGGCCAGUUAGCAAGACGACUUGGACUUGUUUUCUUAAAUAUAUAAUUUCUAGUAUUUUAAGUUAAUUCAGUCCGAAAUGUAAUAAAGGCUUUCCUUUGGUUAUUAUUUCAAAUUAGGAUUAUUAUUAUUUUUAUGCUUUAUAUUUGUUAGAAGUAGAACAUGGUUUUCCUAAACCAUAACUGUUUUUAAAUACUACGUUUUCGCAACUCUAUUUUUAAAUGAAAAUUUUUCAUAAAUCAUCUAUUUUAAAUAAAGCUUUCGCAACUGAAAAGAGAUUUUACAAAGUAAUUAUUAUCAUACAAGAAGAAUAUUUUUUAUUUAAAAUACACCUCGCUUUGAAAGCAACAAAUACAAGUUGGGAUUUUACUCAAGGUUUUUAUUUCAAAAAAGAGUUUUCAAUGAAAACAAGGUUUUCGAUAAAAUACUUCAAUGUGAGACGCUGGAUCUGGCCAUAAUGUUCGGGCCGAGUUUGGGGUGUUACAUUUAGUGGUAUCAGAGCCAAGUUGUAAAAACUCGAGCUGUGAAAUGGUCCUUAUUAUUUGGGUUUGUUUUUUAAAACAAAGAAUUGGAUCACAAUGUUUUGGAAAAAGUUCUUUUAUUAUUAAGCUUGUUUAAUUUGAUAUACUGUAGAUAGUUAAUGGGCUACUUUGGAUGAUUAUACUAAGGCUUUUAGUUAGAGUAAAACUGAAGCCCGUAGGACCUUCAAACUGUAGAGGAUUUACGAAUACAACUUUCUUUUUAAUACUUUCAUAAAACAUCGACUUAAUUAUUGAAACUAAUUAAAACUUCAUAAAAUUUCUAAUCCAAAUAAUACGUGAAUCAAUGAUGAGUGCUAGAAGAGGUGCAAGAGGCCGUGGCCGAGGCCGCGGAGGUGUUAGGGCUGAAUCGUCGGCAUCGGGCCAUAUGCCCAAUGUUGGAGUAGAAGAGGCUCCGGCCUCAUCCGUGGCUGAGACUGGACCGUUUGAUCGGGCAACAAGGAAUGAUGCAUUGUCACAGGCAACGCUAAGGAUUUUGAAUAGGGUCGUAGGGCCCAAUAAUGGCACGAAAAAUCGGGGUCAAUUCUGGAGCGACUUUGAUCAAAUGGGGCUGAGAUCUUUAAGGACGUGGCUGGUGUGGCUCCUAACGUGGCUGAAUACUGGUUGGAGGCCACUGAAAGGAUAAUGGAGGACUUGGACUAUUCACCUGAACAAAAGUUGAAAGGGGCAGUGUCACUGCUUAGGGAAGAAGUUUAUCAGUGGUGGCUGACAGUGAAAGAGGGCACCCAACCUGAGCAGGUCACUUGGGAGUUCUUCAAAACUGCAUUUCAAGGGAAGUAUAUGGGUGCGAAUUAUGUGGAUGCUAGAAGAAAGGAGUUCCUGAACUUGACCUAGGGAAACAAAUCUGUGGCGGAGUAUGAGGUGGAAUUUCUACGCCUUAGUUGGUAUGCAAAAGUUAUGAUGGCAACGGACUAU